AGCGAACGCUGGCGGCGUGCCUAACACAUGCAAGUCGAACGUGAAAGGGAGCAAUCCCAAGUAAAGUGGCGUACGGGUGAGUAACACGUAGGUAAUCUACCCCAGAAUCUGGAAUAACCGGCCGAAAGGCUGGCUAAUACUGGAUAGAGCGACGGAAUCCGUAAUUGGGUUUUUCGGGAAAGGGAGCCUGUAAAAAGGCCUUCGUUCUGGGAUGAGCCUGCGUCCCAUCAGCUAGUUGGUGAGGUAAAAGCUUACCAAGGCGAUGACGGGUAGCUGGUCUGAGAGGACGAUCAGCCACACUGGAACUGAAACACGGUCCAGACUCCUACGGGAGGCAGCAGUGGGGAAUCUUGCGCAAUGGACGAAAGUCUGACGCAGCAACGCCGCGUGAGUGAAGAAGGCCUUCGGGUUGUAAAGCUCUGUCGAGUGGGACGAAAAUGCUUGGAGUUCACAGCUCCAGGAACUGACGGUACCACUAAAGGAAGCACCGGCUAACUCCGUG
Molecule: ribosomal RNA, 502 nt
Filed under: uncultured bacterium
Lineage: Bacteria
Description: partial 16S ribosomal RNA
Rfam family: Bacterial small subunit ribosomal RNA
Source: RNAcentral